CACGUAGUUGGCCGGUGCUUCUUCUGCGCAUACCGUCACUUUCGCUUCGUCUGCGCUGAAAGAGGUUUACAACCCGAAGGCCGUCAUCCCUCACGCGGCGUUGCUGGAUCAGGCUUUCGCCCAUUGUCCAAUAUUCCCUACUGCUGCCUCCCGUAGGAGUCUGGGCCGUGUCUCAGUCCCAGUGUGGCCGGUCACCCUCUCAGGCCGGCUACCCGUCGAAGCCUUGGUGGGCCAUUACCUCACCAACUAGCUGAUAGGCCGCGAGCUCAUCCUUCACCGCCGGAACUUUCCACCACCAUCAGAUGCCUGAAGUGGUCGUAUCCGGUAUUAGCUCCCGUUUCCGGGGUUAUCCCGAUGUGAAGGCAGAUUGCUCACGUGUUACUCACCCGUUCGCCGCUCGUGUACUCCCGAAGGAGCCUUACCGCUCGACUUGCAUGUGUUAAGCACGCCGCCAGCGUUCGUCCUCGAGCCGAAGAUACGAAACUCUCUGACGACUCGCCGUAACGGACCG
This 511-nucleotide ribosomal RNA is filed under the name uncultured Marmoricola sp. RNAcentral's name for it is "partial 16S ribosomal RNA". Lineage: Bacteria; Bacillati; Actinomycetota; Actinomycetes; Propionibacteriales; Nocardioidaceae. The record is from RNAcentral.